Long non-coding RNA from Numida meleagris (helmeted guineafowl), 2350 nucleotides. RefSeq lists it as uncharacterized. Lineage: Eukaryota; Metazoa; Chordata; Aves; Galliformes; Numididae. The transcript has 4 exons. The record is from RefSeq and is a predicted model, not a curated record.
CGGGGGACGGGCCGGCUGCGGCCUCGCGAAGCGCGGCGGGUCUCAGCGGCGAGGCCUCCCGAGGGCGCCUAAAAAUAGGUCUCCGCCCCCCUGCAGGCACGGCCGAGAGCCGGAGCGAAGUAGAGGCGGAGAGCGAGCGAGCGAGGGAGGGGCGGUGGACGGGGUCGUGUGAGGCCGCGCGGGCGGGGCCCGGCCCGGCCCGGCCCGGCAGACAAAGGAGCCGCGCGCGGCCGCGUGAGGGGCGGCUCUCCUCAGCGCUGCGCUGUCCGGAGUGCGGCUGGCGGGCGUGCCUUCCGCGCAACGUGCAGCGCAGCUUACCGCAGCACAGCGGUUCUUCCACGCGAAACGACAAGUAUGUGUGUGCAUAUAUAUCGUCAGAAGUGGGACUCCUGAAAAUCGGGGAAGAAAACCUUUUUUGGAAAUUGCGGAAAAGAAUUCUCCAUUUUCUGCGUGUUCCCCGCUCCGGAGUCGCGGCCACGUGUCACAAGCACAGUUGCACCUUGCAGUUUAGAUUCCCACUGUGAGCCCGUGUGGUUUUACUUCUUAGCCACGUUCUGUUCUCUGGACGGUGACUGUAACAGCACUGCAGCGUCUGAGGAGCGGAAGGUGGUUUUGCAGAACGUGCUGGAGAGUUGCAUAAGAUGCAAUGGUGAUUGCAUUAUUUGAAUUCCUUUGCAUACAAAGCGUGUUUACGCUACGGCUUCCGGAAGGAUAACUUUCAUCAUGAUUCUCCAUAAAUGCUACAUGGAAAGUAAAGGAAACGGGGCUUAGCAAGCUGUUUAUUUUUGAGUGAGCAUGUGCUAACCAAUGGUCCAUUUCUGGAAAAUGGUUUCUGCUAGUUGUGAUGUUUGUGGGCGCUGUGCAGCACGAGCCCGUGGUCAACAGUUCCCUGUGGGCAUGGGAGGGGCACGCUGCUGGAAGGGCUGCUCACCCCGCUUCUCUUAAAAUCCUAUUGAAAAGGAGAAAAAAAACAAGUACAUUCUGCCUGUGUGGAGGACAGCAGCAAAGUGUCUCAGAGGCACCCAUUUUUCUCCUUCAAGAUGGUGCCUCUGAAAUGGGAGAGAAAAAGACAGCCUUCCAGGUAGAUAGGUGGAGGAGGUUUAAUUAAAUCCGGAAGGCGUAGCUGCACCUGUGGGUACACAACACUCUGUAUUAGAAUAAGCUGAAUAAGCAAUAGUUCCUGAUAGCAGCCAAGAAAACUUGAAUGGUGGGUGUAUUUUAGAUGCAAGAUGCCAAUACCAUUUCAGUAAGGUCAGCCGUGCCCUGACAGCUUCCUGUGUGCUUGCCCUUUGAUUUGUAGGUUAUUCUCACAGGUACAGGCUGACCUUUUGGCCCAGACUGAAGUGAAAUGGUUGCCUUCAUGCUGGUGCCUUGGUCCCACACAAUGCUGUCUCCAGCUGCCAACAAGGAUGAGGCUGAACACUGUGCUCCUUGCAGGUGCGAUGGAGUCUGAGCAAUAGUGCAGAGCAGUGCCAUGUGCAGGUGGUAGUCCAGGUGUCCUGUAGGCGGCAGCUGCAACAGUGACAGCAGUAACGGGUGGAGUUGGAAGAGUCAAGGAGGAGAACAGCACUGCGUAUGCGGACAUGCAGAAAACAUUUGGAAGGGAAAAGAAAGCAAUCAGGAAGGAAAUUCAAUUAUCUGUGGUGAGUGGAAGGAUUUAGCAAGUCUGCCUGCUUAGAGGCGUGACCAUGCAAAUCAGAUCCUUCACUGUGACUUAUUCAUGCAAAACUUUCUUGAACCUCAUGAAGAAUUUUUCCUGGCAAACUUCUAACUGCUUGUCCAACCUCUUCAGGCUUGCGUGUGGGGUUGGUCCACAAGCAAUGAUUUUCCAUUACUGCAACAAGCAUGAAGUGAAAUAACUGUGGCCUGGCCCAGGCUGCUCAUCAGCUGCCUACACCACUGCCCGUGCUGUAUAUACAAGUGACUACUGGAAGCAUUUCAAUUCCUUCUGAAAAAUAUCCUGCAAUGUUCUUGCCUCUUGCUUAGGAGAGUGGCCCUCCCUUGCCUCAGACAGCACAAGCCUUCCACAUGGUUUGCUGGAAUAUGCUGCCUAGCUACCAAAGAGUAGCUCAGAAACUCAUUCCUAUAGCUGUUCUUGGUUGUUGUACUCCUGAGCAGUUCUGAUCCCAGGAAACAGAUUUUGCUGUCCUUCCUCUUGUCUCUGUGUGAUGCAGGUGAACAAUGACAAAGCAGUGCACCUUCCAUUCGUUGUUUGCCAAAACACAUACAGUUUUGUAAGACAUCUCUUUUCAUGCAAUUAUAAAGGAUCAGUUCUGUUUGUUUUCAGUGAUAAAAAAUUCAAAUAAAACAACAACAAUAGCGCAAAGAUUGGAAGAGGUUUUUUUUUUUC